This 465-nucleotide ribosomal RNA is filed under the name Vreelandella stevensii. RNAcentral's name for it is "partial 16S ribosomal RNA". It matches the Rfam family "Bacterial small subunit ribosomal RNA", at positions 338 to 795 of the family's 1533-position model. Lineage: Bacteria; Pseudomonadati; Pseudomonadota; Gammaproteobacteria; Oceanospirillales; Halomonadaceae. The record is from RNAcentral.
CCUACGGGUGGCUGCAGUGGGGAAUAUUGGACAAUGGGGGCAACCCUGAUCCAGCCAUGCCGCGUGUGUGAAGAAGGCCCUCGGGUUGUAAAGCACUUUCAGUGAGGAAGAACGCCUGGUGGUUAAUACCCAUCAGGAAAGACAUCACUCACAGAAGAAGCACCGGCUAACUCCGUGCCAGCAGCCGCGGUAAUACGGAGGGUGCGAGCGUUAAUCGGAAUUACUGGGCGUAAAGCGCGCGUAGGUGGCUUGAUAAGCCGGUUGUGAAAGCCCCGGGCUCAACCUGGGAACGGCAUCCGGAACUGGCAAGCUAGAGUGCAGGAGAGGAAGGUAGAAUUCCCGGUGUAGCGGUGAAAUGCGUAGAGAUCGGGAGGAAUACCAGUGGCGAAGGCGGCCUUCUGGACUGACACUGACACUGAGGUGCGAAAGCGUGGGUAGCAAACAGGAUUAGAUACCCUAGUAGUC